CGUCCACCAUCUCCCAGGAUAUCUAGUCAGGCUGACCCCAUCAUACAAUUAUCAGUCUACACAAUGUUUCAUUUCCCUUUUCCUCAAUAAGCAUCAUCAAUUCACAUUUAAACAAGCAAACAGUAAUUCAUGCCAAACAGACAACAUACAGUAUCAGUUUUUCAGUCAUUCAACCCAUAAUUAAUAAAAACGUAGUAUAUGCACACAAAUCUGUAAAAUGAACACAUCAAACCCCAUAAUGCAUUUAAAGCUGUAAAACAGUGUAAAACAGGCCAAAUAACAGUAAAUCAUCAAUCACACUAGACUCGGG
Molecule: long non-coding RNA, 310 nt
Filed under: Carica papaya (papaya)
Lineage: Eukaryota; Viridiplantae; Streptophyta; Magnoliopsida; Brassicales; Caricaceae
Description: long non-coding RNA (CPAP_LNC011790)
Source: RNAcentral